UCCGGGUUGGACCCGGCGGUCCCGCCAGACAUGGUAACUGGCAGCGAGGGUUGCGCUCGUUGCGGGACUUAACCCAACACCUCACGGCACGAGCUAACGACAGCCAUGCAGCAUCUGUGCGCGCUCCCUUGCGGGUCCUCCCCCUUUCGGAGUCGUACCACGCGCAUGUCAAGCCCAGGUAAGGUUCUUCGCGUUGCGUCGAAUUAAACCACACGCUCCGCUGCUUGUGCGGGCCCCCGUCAAUUCCUUUGAGUUUUAGCCUUGCGGCCGUAGUCCCCAGGCGGAGCACUUAUCGCGUUGGCUGCGGCACCGAGGGGGUCGAUACCAGAAACAUCUAGCACUCAUCGUUUACGGCGUGGACUAC
This 364-nucleotide unclassified non-coding RNA is filed under the name uncultured Chloroflexota bacterium. Its description in RNAcentral is "uncultured Chloroflexi bacterium contains 16S-23S intergenic spacer region". Lineage: Bacteria; Bacillati; Chloroflexota. The record is from RNAcentral.